This 468-nucleotide ribosomal RNA is filed under the name uncultured bacterium. Its description in RNAcentral is "partial 16S ribosomal RNA". It matches the Rfam family "Bacterial small subunit ribosomal RNA", at positions 28 to 507 of the family's 1533-position model. The record is from RNAcentral.
GACGAACGCUGGCGGCGUGCUUAACACAUGCAAGUCGAACGGAAAGGCCCUGCUUUUGUGGGGUGCUCGAGUGGCGAACGGGUGAGUAACACGUGAGUAACCUGCCCUUGACUUUGGGAUAACUUCAGGAAACUGGGGCUAAUACCGGAUAGGAGCUCCUGCUGCAUGGUGGGGGUUGGAAAGUUUCGGCGGUUGGGGAUGGACUCGCGGCUUAUCAGCUUGUUGGUGGGGUAGUGGCCUACCAAGGCUUUGACGGGUGGCCGGCCUGAGAGGGUGACCGGCCACAUUGGGACUGAGAUACGGCCCAGACUCCUACGGGAGGCAGCAGUGGGGAAUAUUGCACAAUGGGCGGAAGCCUGAUGCAGCAACGCCGCGUGCGGGAUGACGGCCUUCGGGUUGUAAACCGCUUUCGCCUGUGACGAAGCGUGAGUGACGGUAAUGGGUAAAGAAGCACCGGCUAACUACGUG